Molecule: ribosomal RNA, 432 nt
Filed under: uncultured bacterium
Lineage: Bacteria
Description: partial 16S ribosomal RNA
Rfam family: Bacterial small subunit ribosomal RNA
Source: RNAcentral
ACGAACGCUGGCGGCAUGCCUAACCCAUGCAAGUCGAACGAGACCUUCGGGUCUAGUGGCGCACGGGUGCGUCACGCGUGGGAACCUGCCCUUAGGUUCGGAAUAACUCCCCGAAAGGGGUGCUAAUACCGGAUAAUGUCUUCGGACCAAAGAUUUAUCGCCUUUGGAUGGGCCCGCGUUGGAUUAGCUAGUUGGUAGGGUAAAAGCCUACCAAGGCGACGAUCCAUAGCUGGUCUGAGAGGAUGAUCAGCCACACUGGGACUGAGACACGGCCCAGACUCCUACGGGAGGCAGCAGUGGGGAAUAUUGGACAAUGGGCGAAAGCCUGAACCAGCAAUGCCGCGUGAGUGAUGAAGGCCUUAGGGUUGUAAAGCUCUUUUACCCGGGAUGAUAAUGACAGUACCGGGAGAAUAAGCUCCGGCUAACUCCGUG